Molecule: small RNA, 123 nt
Filed under: Marmota monax (woodchuck)
Lineage: Eukaryota; Metazoa; Chordata; Mammalia; Rodentia; Sciuridae
Source: RNAcentral
GCUAGGCAUGAUGGUGCAUGCCUGUAAUCUCAGCAACUUGGGAGGCUGAGGCAGGAGGAUUGCAAGUCCUAGGCUAGCCUCAGCAACUUAUCGAGGCCCUAAGCAACUUAGCAAGACUCUGUU